RNAcentral lists this ribosomal RNA (60 nucleotides) under Camellia hongkongensis. RNAcentral's name for it is "partial 26S ribosomal RNA". Lineage: Eukaryota; Viridiplantae; Streptophyta; Magnoliopsida; Ericales; Theaceae. The record is from RNAcentral.
UUGCGACCCCAGAUCAUACGGGAUUACCAGCUGAGUUUAAGCAUAUCAAUAAGCGGAGGA